Molecule: long non-coding RNA, 904 nt
Filed under: Gossypium barbadense (sea-island cotton)
Lineage: Eukaryota; Viridiplantae; Streptophyta; Magnoliopsida; Malvales; Malvaceae
Description: long non-coding RNA (GBAR_LNC009600)
Source: RNAcentral
AAUGAUAACUAAUUAAUUUUUGAUGAAAUAAUAUAAAGAUUAAUAUACAAAUUUAGAAUAUUUAAAUCUAGUUGAAGUCAAAUAUAGUUUUUUAAUGAAAAAGCAAAAUAUAUUUAAUUUUAUGGUAGGUGUAAGACCCGAAUUUUGCCCGGCCCAUAGGGAAACCAAAAUCAAACACAAAAAUUAAAUGGGUUCGGUUUACAAGCCCAAAAUUUUACAACGGCCCGAUAGGCCCUAAUUUUUAGGGUUUCAGAAACCCUAAAGUUCCCCUUUUGCGCAGCAGCCCCACGCACGCUCCACGCAUGACCCUGGCUUGCGCGUUGCACACCCCACGUUCGUGUGCUCCGCUCCCACGUCUUCACAACCUGCAUUUUGAGCAAGAAAACGGCAAGAAACCACUUGUAUUUGGAUAUAAAAGCUGUCAAAUUUGGAUUGUAAAAGGGGGUCUUUCUUUUUUUCAGAGAAAUUGUAUACAGAAUACAUACAAAGAUCAAUAGAAAAUAAUCAAAAUAUACCUCUAAGGUGAUUAUUUGCUGUAAUUUAUUUCUAUUUUUUUUUCCUUUUUUUCCCCUUUUCAUUUGGAUCUAAUACAAAUACGAAAUAUAAGAGUAAGUGGGAGAAGCACACCGGAGUUGCGUCGCGCUCUCACCACUGGAGGGCCCUACUUCGUUGGUCGCAAGCAGUUUUCGGAGAAGUUGAAGGCUUGGCAUAAGCCUUUCGGCGAGGAGCAGAGGGGUGAGCAAAAGGGGGGGGGGGUUCUCAAAAUUUAGGGUUGUUUUUAAACAAAGAAUAAAAUGGUUUGAAAAAUGGGUGAAGUAAUUGGAAUAAAAAAGCACCGUUGGGUGCUUGACCCACACAUUUUGGCUCAAAGUGGGGGAUUUGCGUAUUGAGUCCUCCCCUUUUG